UUACAAAAUGGGUUACAUUAUUGCCUACUGAUCCGACCAUUAACCAGCACUAACUGCAAGUGUGCCCUUUUUUUUUUUUUUUUUUAAAUUGAAUUUAAUUUUAUUCCUCUCAGAACCAAGUCCAAUUCGCUGCUAUCAAAACAACAGUUUCUAUUCGUUCAUGGAGAGCUCCUUCCUUGGAUUCCAGUUCCCAAACUUAUCUACAUUCCUCUCAUUGGUGCCAGACACUGAAAAAUCAAUGCUGAUCAACUCCAUGUCACCAUCUGACCUUGGCAGCCUCCUCAGUCGGCCGAACAUUGUUGACAACAGCUCACAGCUCUGCACCAUUUUUAAUUAUUACUUCAGUACUCCUGAUUUCUUGGAGAAGGAAAAUGUCUCUGAUAGCCUGAGGCAACAAAUCUUGCCUUGUGUCUGGCCAAUGGCCCUAAGCAGUAAAACCAAGACUGACGUGGAAGUAUGGUUUAACAGCUUGAGCCAGUACAUGAAAUUUCUCAACAAGGACCUCAUCGGCUCUCCCAAACUUCUCAGUGCCAGCUGCCUGUCAUUUCAGAAAUUCGUUUUUGUUCUUGGAAAUGGUUACAACUACAGCAACAUGAACUUCAAUAAGGGCAAUGUUUACACUACCAUUAAGGACUACCUCAGCACUGGAACAAAACCCAAAUGCUACAACGCUACAAAUCCUGACCUGAACUCCACUGCUUGGUUUGUUGACUACAUCGGCGAGUUCAUCAACUUCACCACUCUGGAUGACCUCAACUCAUUCGGUUCUACACAGCUUCAGGUCUUUGCCCCAAACCUUGCAAACAUCCAUCUCUUCAAUCAAACUGGUUUUCAACAGAACAUCUCAUCAUUUUACACAGAACUCAUUUACUUACAGGACCCUAAUUUUGACCCUUUGCUACUUCCAAUGGAGUUCCGCUGUAGUGCCCCAGGCUCAUCAUACACACAACUGAACAAUGAAGAGGCUAUGACUGUUCUCAGAAACAUAAGCCACGUAUGUACUGAAGUCGACCCUCAGAUUACUGCAGCCUUGGCUGGAGACCUUGAAAUAAGUGUAGCUGCAAUCACAUCACUGGGCCAAGAAUGUUCAGGACUGACCACUGACCAGAUUAUAACAGCUCCUCCAUCUGUGAUCAUUUCAUCCCUUCCAAUACUACGUACAGUGAAUGGCUGGGACCUGGGGCAACUGAUAGCCAUCAUACAAGUUCUGGCUUCAGGGGGUCUUCAACUGAACAACAGUGUGGAACUUCUGGAGCUAGGAACGCUUGUUGUGGGAGUGCCCUCAACAGUUUUUACUCACACUGAUCCUUCUCAGCUUCUGCAAAUAUCCAAAAAUGCAUCGUUCAUUAUCAACAUUUUGAAUGCCCCCCCAAACACAAAGUACACUUUUAUUAACCAGGUAUGUGUGUGUGAAACAAAAAGAUUAUAG
RNAcentral lists this long non-coding RNA (1429 nucleotides) under Scleropages formosus (Asian bonytongue). RNAcentral describes it as "lncRNA (ENSSFOG00015029522.1)". The record is from RNAcentral. Lineage: Eukaryota; Metazoa; Chordata; Actinopteri; Osteoglossiformes; Osteoglossidae.